UGGUUAUAUUUUCUGCUUCCUUGCUGAAGUUGUCAAGCUGCUCAUCCACUCUUCUCUCAAGUAUGGUGGUCAUCUUCAUGGCUAUUGCUUUGAACUCUUGAUCAGGGCAAGACUUGCUUUGGAGUGGUGCUGGUUCUGGAUGGGGUUGACCACAAGGCAUGGCAGGGUAAUAGUCGCUAUACAGGAACACCUGCAAUGAGAGAUCACGAGUUGGGGAGACACAGAAUCUGAAGCACCCACCAC
Leopardus geoffroyi (Geoffroy's cat) is the source of this 243-nucleotide long non-coding RNA. RefSeq lists it as uncharacterized. NCBI's taxonomy places the organism in Eukaryota, Metazoa, Chordata, Mammalia, Carnivora, Felidae. The record is from RefSeq and is a predicted model, not a curated record. The transcript has 3 exons.